ACACAUGCAGUCGAGCGCGCCCUUUUGGGUGAGCGGCGGACGGGUGAGUAACACGUGGGAAUAUGCCUUUCGGUGCGGAAUAGUCUUGGGAAACUGAGGGUAAUACCGCAUACGCCCUUCGGGGGAAAGAUUUAUCGCCGAGAGAUUAGCCCGCGUUGGAUUAGGUAGUUGGUGGGGUAAUGGCUCACCAAGCCGACGAUCCAUAGCUGGUUUGAGAGGAUGAUCAGCCACACUGGGACUGAGACACGGCCCAGACUCCUACGGGAGGCAGCAGUGGGGAAUCUUAGACAAUGGGGGCAACCCUGAUCUAGCCAUGCCGCGUGGGUGAUGAAGGCUUUCGGGUCGUAAAGCCCUUUUCCCACUGACGAGGAAGGACGGUAGGUGGGGAAUAAGUCUCGGCUAACUACGUGCCAGCAGCCGCGGUAAAACGUAGGAGACGAGCGUUAUCCGGAGUUACUGGGCGUAAAGCGUGCGUAGGUGGAUGGUUAAGUGGGUCGUGAAAGCCGUGGGCUAAACUUACGGAGGACGAUUCAGACUGGUCAUCUAGAGGGUGGUAGAGGAGUGCGGAAUUCCGGGUGUAGCGGUGAAAUGUGUAGAGAUCCGGAGGAACACCAGUGGCGCAAGCGGCGCUCUGGGCCACUACUGACACUGAUGCACGAAAGCGUGGGGAGCGAACGGGAUUAGAGACCCCGGUAGUCCACGCCGUAAACGAUGCGAACUAGAUGUUCAC
This 730-nucleotide ribosomal RNA is filed under the name uncultured bacterium. RNAcentral's name for it is "bacterial SSU rRNA". It matches the Rfam family "Bacterial small subunit ribosomal RNA", at positions 51 to 827 of the family's 1533-position model. The record is from RNAcentral.